ACAGAGGUUGCAAACGUUGUUCGGAAUUACUGGGCAUAAAGCGCACGUAGGUGGUCCGCUAAGUCGAUUGUGAAAUUCCCCGGCUCAACCGGGGAACGGCAAACGAUACUGGCGGGCUUGAGGUCCGGAGGGGUGAGUGGAACUCCUGGUGGAGCGGUGAAAUGCGUAGAUAUCAGGAGGAACACCGGUGGCGAAAGCGGCUCACUGGACCGUUUCUGACGCUGAGGUGCGAAAGCUAGGGGAGCAAACGGGA
RNAcentral lists this ribosomal RNA (253 nucleotides) under uncultured prokaryote. RNAcentral describes it as "partial 16S ribosomal RNA". It matches the Rfam family "Bacterial small subunit ribosomal RNA", at positions 525 to 777 of the family's 1533-position model. The record is from RNAcentral.